Molecule: ribosomal RNA, 437 nt
Filed under: uncultured bacterium
Lineage: Bacteria
Description: partial 16S ribosomal RNA
Rfam family: Bacterial small subunit ribosomal RNA
Source: RNAcentral
ACGGGAGGCAGCAGUGGGGAAUAUUGGGCAAUGGGCGCAAGCCUGACCCAGCAACGCCGCGUGAAGGAAGAAGGUUUUCGGAUUGUAAACUUCUGUCCUUGGUGACGAAGGAAGUGACGGUAGCCAAGGAGGAAGCCCCGGCUAACUACGUGCCAGCAGCCGCGGUAAUACGUAGGGGGCAAGCGUUGUCCGGAAUGACUGGGCGUAAAGGGCGUGUAGGCGGCUUUUUAAGUCUGAAGUGAAAGUCCUGCUUUCAAGGUGGGAAUUGCUUUGGAGACUGGAAGGCUUGAGUGCGGAAGAGGUAAGUGGAAUUCCCAGUGUAGCGGUGAAAUGCGUAGAGAUUGGGAGGAACACCAGUGGCGAAGGCGACUUACUGGGCCGUAACUGACGCUGAGGCGCGAAAGCGUGGGUAGCAAACAGGAUUAGAUACCCUGGUA